GCUCAGUUGGUAGAACAUGUGACUCUUGAUCUCAGAGUUAUGAGUUCAACUCCCAUAUUGGGCA
Non-coding RNA from Ailuropoda melanoleuca (giant panda), 64 nucleotides. Lineage: Eukaryota; Metazoa; Chordata; Mammalia; Carnivora; Ursidae. The record is from Rfam.